Molecule: ribosomal RNA, 678 nt
Filed under: Enterobacter mori
Lineage: Bacteria; Pseudomonadati; Pseudomonadota; Gammaproteobacteria; Enterobacterales; Enterobacteriaceae
Description: partial 16S rRNA
Source: RNAcentral
UGAGCGUCAGUCUUUGUCCAGGGGGCCGCCUUCGCCACCGGUAUUCCUCCAGAUCUCUACGCAUUUCACCGCUACACCUGGAAUUCUACCCCCCUCUACAAGACUCUAGCCUGCCAGUUUCGAAUGCAGUUCCCAGGUUGAGCCCGGGGAUUUCACAUCCGACUUGACAGACCGCCUGCGUGCGCUUUACGCCCAGUAAUUCCGAUUAACGCUUGCACCCUCCGUAUUACCGCGGCUGCUGGCACGGAGUUAGCCGGUGCUUCUUCUGCGGGUAACGUCAAUUGCUGAGGUUAUUAACCUCAACACCUUCCUCCCCGCUGAAAGUACUUUACAACCCGAAGGCCUUCUUCAUACACGCGGCAUGGCUGCAUCAGGCUUGCGCCCAUUGUGCAAUAUUCCCCACUGCUGCCUCCCGUAGGAGUCUGGACCGUGUCUCAGUUCCAGUGUGGCUGGUCAUCCUCUCAGAUCAGCUAGGGAUCGUCGCCUAGGUGAGCCGUUACCCCACCUACUAGCUAAUCCCAUCUGGGCACAUCUGAUGGCAAGAGGCCCGAAGGUCCCCCUCUUUGGUCUUGCGACGUUAUGCGGUAUUAGCUACCGUUUCCAGUAGUUAUCCCCCUCCAUCAGGCAGUUUCCCAGACAUUACUCACCCGUCCGCCGCUCGCCGGCAAAGUAGCAAGC